Molecule: long non-coding RNA, 3398 nt
Organism: Pseudophryne corroboree (corroboree frog)
Lineage: Eukaryota; Metazoa; Chordata; Amphibia; Anura; Myobatrachidae
Exons: 4
Source: RefSeq, a predicted model, not a curated record
CUGUAAACUCGUUAUUGUAUAAUCAACUUUCUCUUAUUAGUGGAAAUUUACUAAACUCCUGAUUUAAUUUUAGAUUGCAUUUUCAGAUGAAAAUGCAACUCGGUAAUUUACUAAACUCUAAACACAACAGUGUUGGUCCAAUUUGUAUUGAUUUUAACAGUCAACAACAUAAAUACAUAUUAAUACACCAUUGAUCAAAUGCGGCUGUUAUUUCAUACAACAUGGGAAUUUACCAAAGAUUCGCAUUUACAAACUCAAACAUAAAAGCUUAACAACAUCCGCAAAGGGGCGCGAUUCAAAAAAUUUAGCUUUCAAAAAGAACUGUUUUGGUUUGGCGUUUUUAACAUGUUUGUCAGCUUACCCAUUAAUUACACCUGAAUUCUGAUGCCUUUAAAAGGGGACUAAGCACAUUAUUCACUUUUCCCUCUCAAAAAUGGUUUCUGUCCUUUGCUGCAGUAAUGUGCUGGGUGCUGUGGGAUUCCUGAGACAGCCACCAGUGUGGAAGAAACCAGGGGCAAGAAACUGACCAUGGUCAGCAGGUUGUGCAGGUACCACAGAGGCUGCGCAGGCCUCGUUUAGUGAGGGGGCAUUUGAACUUAAACACAUUAGCAAAUGACCAGGUCAUACAGAUGUUUCAGCUCAAUAUAACAUUUUCCAUCUGUAUGACUUUGUCAAACUGGACCUAGACCCUGAGAAUGCUCUCUCUCUGUCUCAGGUCUGCAUAAACUCCUGGCUGUAUUGCACCUUCUGGCUACUAGCAGCUUUCAGGCUGUGUUUGGUGCAGUUAUUGGGAUGUCACAGCCCACCUUUUCCAAAUAUUUAAUGCAGGUGAUGUACAGUAUACCUUACACCCUCAUAUAAAUACUUGCACUUUAUGACUACUGAUAGCUUUCACACUGUCUGCCAGUUAUUUGGAUCACCCCCCCCCACCACCUUUUUUUACUUUCUCACACAGGUGUUCGAUGCUUUGCAAAUCCAUAUAGAUGCCACUAUCUGCUUCCCUAGUCAGGAGUCAUAGUGGCAUGCAGUCAGGGUAGUUUUUUAUCACAUUGCUGGCAUGCCCCAUGUGCUAGGUGUGAUAGAUUGCACACAUGCACAUCUGAGGCCACCUAGGGUCAGGCAGUACAUCUAUAAAAAUAGAAAUCAAGACCAGUCUACUAAUGUCCAGGUGGUUUCUGAUGCUAAAACUUAAAAUUGAGUAUUGUUGUGGGUUAACCUGGCAGAUGUCCUUCAUCCUCAGUCAGUCAUCCUUCUAUGAAAAAUUUGAUUCCUGACAAAUGACAGAUGAGUGACUGUUGGGUAUGUAACUAUAUAUUUGGCUUUUGUAAUGCAGACACAAUAACCACUAUGUAAACAAUGCUACUGUAUAUAUUCCUUCUAUAAUAUCUGUGUUUUUCAGGUGAUGCAGGGUAUGGCUGUUUCUCUUGGCUUCUGACUCCAUUUUAAUGUCCUGAUUUUGCUGCUUAACACAAUUACAAUCAUGCACAUAAAGUCACUUGGACAGUGAUAGAUAUUUUGUUGUGCUGAAAUCUCAGUUAUGGUGUCUGGAUAAGUCUGCUGGCCUUUUGUUGUAUAAUCACUUAAAGGAGACUAAAAUUGUGUUCUGCUGCUGUUUUCUUUAUGACAUGUGUUUGCAACAACAUCUUCCACAUGAUGUUGAAGAAAAUAGGAGUUAGUAUCAUCUGGCGACAGUUGGAGUACAGAUGUAGGGAGGCAGGUAAGGCAGCAAGUAAUAGAAAAACAUUUUUCUGGUAAGUAUAUUUCUACCACUGUAAUGUCUUAUUAAGUGUAACUAUAGACUCGUCCCUUGGUGUUGAUAUUCUCCCAACAACAGUCUGAAAAACAAUGAUUCAUAUUACACUACAUCAUAACAGAUAUAUACUGUAUGUUUAUGUCAUACAUUAGUCUCACAAUAUCCUAUGUGUAAUCUUUUACAUUUUUAAAAACCUUUCAUCAAUUUGUAUGUGUACAAUAUAUUUUGUUUGAAUCACAUACACAAUAUAAACGUGUUUACCUGAAUAAGUAGGUGUUUCAUUUAACAUUCCUUUUCUUACCAAAAAGACUUAGCCUAAGGGUUUUUUAAUUUAGUAUUUAGUGGAAGUGAAGAUGUGGGGCCUAAAUUUAGCACAUCUACGAUCAGCCACACUGAAAUGCGGGGGCACACAGCACAGGGCUAGUCCGUCCCGCAUGUCAGGCCCUAACCCCCCCACACAUGUACAAAAGCAUUGCACGACUUUAAAUAACAUGUUUUGUUGUUAAACAAAUGGACACAAAUUACUGAAAUCAUAUUUCUGAAACACGUUUGUUUAUUUUUUUUGGCUGUGUUAUUUGCUUUAGUUUUCCCCCCAAAAAAAUGAAGCUGUUUUUUAAUAAAAGACAUGGCCUUAAUAGGCCCUACACACUUGUCGAUGUAACUGAAAGUUAUGAAAGAUAUCAUUCAUUAAUGAACGAGAUAGCAUUUAUAUCUUUCAGUGUCAGGGCACCAGCGAUGAACGAUGCGCGGCACCAUGCUCGUUCAUCGCUGGUGCCCCGUCGGCUGUGCAUGCAGGCCAAUAUGGAUGAUCUCGUCCAUAUUUGCCUGCACUUGUAUGGAGCCGUGUGACGGGGGGAAUGAAGGAACUUCACUCCCCCCGCCACUGCCUCCCACCCCGCCGCCGGGUCGACCGUCUGCUGUAUCGGCGGUCGGGCAACUCGGCAGCGUAUCGCCAUGUCUGUAUGGCCCAUAACAGCGACUUUGAUUGGGAAAAAAGUUAACUUUUUUUUUCUCAUUACAGAUUGAGAAAUCUCUUUUUUAUUUCCCCUGCUGCGCUCUGGAGCUGGACCGUCCUUUUUCAGUUGCGUCUUGCAUAUGUCCGUAAACGGGAGGAUCACCUUAGUGGGGAGGUAGGUGAUGGGCCAGGCUCCCAAUGAAUUGCUUCUGCCUCCACAGACAAUCAAGAUCUUGUCUUGCCUGGUUUUCCUCAAGAAUGGGGUCCAUUGUAAUGAAUUAGCAGUUGUGUGCAGCUGUGGUGAGUGUGGUGAAAUUGGCAGGGGACUGUCCAAAAGAUGUAGUCGUGGCCUUGAUGACACCUCUAAGAUGCGGCAUCGUGGUAGAGACACAUUGGCCUGCUUGUGACAGCUGACUUCCGCUUGUGUGUUGGCGACAUGUGUGUUGGCCUGGCUGACACAUAUGACUUGCGCUUCCUUGGAGGAGACACAUGUGUGGAAGUACCUAAAAAAUAUGGACAAAUUAAAAUUUUGACUCAAUUUGUUUGAGGAAAAAAACAGAAACACUAAUGUACUUACCAGCUACUCCAUUAUCCUCCGCUUCAGGCUGAGUGUGGGCACGGACCACUGUUGUAGUGGAAUUGUGGAUUGCUGUAAAUGGAAAUGUAACAUGUGAUUACAACACAAUUAGU